RNAcentral lists this ribosomal RNA (433 nucleotides) under uncultured bacterium. RNAcentral's name for it is "bacterial SSU rRNA". It matches the Rfam family "Bacterial small subunit ribosomal RNA", at positions 60 to 510 of the family's 1533-position model. The record is from RNAcentral.
AGUCGAACGGCAGCACGGACUUCGGUCUGGUGGCGAGUGGCGAACGGGUGAGUAAUACAUCGGAACGUGCCUAGUAGUGGGGGAUAACUACUCGAAAGAGUGGCUAAUACCGCAUGAGAUCUACGGAUGAAAGCAGGGGAUCGCAAGACCUUGUGCUACUAGAGCGGCCGAUGGCAGAUUAGGUAGUUGGUGGGAUAAAAGCUUACCAAGCCAACGAUCUGUAGCUGGUCUGAGAGGACGAUCAGCCACACUGGAACUGAGAGACGGUCCAGACUCCUACGGGAGGCAGCAGUGGGGAAUAUUGGGCAAUGGGCGAAAGCCUGACCCAGCAACGCCGCGUGAGGGAAGAAGGGUUUCGGCUCGUAAACCUCUGUCCUAUGGGACGAAGGAAGUGACGGUACCAUAGGAGGAAGCCCCGGCUAACUACGUGCCA